UACCGGAGCCACAAGUAGGUGACCACUUUUAUUGGGUCUAAAGCGUUCGUAGCCUGUUUAGUAAGUUUCUUGUGAAAUUGUUGGGCUCAACCUAACAACGGGCAAGAAAUACUACUGGACUUGAGACCGGGAGGAGUUAGAGGUAUUCCAAGGGGAGCGGUAAAAUGUUAUAAUCCUUGGAGGACCACCGAUGGCGAAGGCAUCUAACUAGAACGGGUCUGACGGUGAGGAACGAAGGCUAGGAGAACGAUAAGGAUUAGAUACCCCCGUA
RNAcentral lists this ribosomal RNA (271 nucleotides) under uncultured prokaryote. RNAcentral's name for it is "partial 16S ribosomal RNA". It matches the Rfam family "Archaeal small subunit ribosomal RNA", at positions 474 to 743 of the family's 1478-position model. The record is from RNAcentral.